CCUCAGAUCGCCACUCUUAAUCUUCAAAACAGGUGAUCACAUGGUAUUUUCUUCAUGGAAAAGUGGUGAGGACUUCAGAGCAGGACCUGCCCAGUGGCUGGCUGCUCCUGACAGCAAAGCAGAAAUUCAAACUCCAGGCAGUGUGACUCCUAACUCCCAGGCAGAGGCAGGGUUGGGUGUGAAGGUUUGCUUGGGGCUCCGGCUUUGUCCUUUGUUCUCGGGGCUUGGGCCCCCUCCUCCCAGCUCCCUGUGCACACGUGUGUGCGCGGAUGCCUCCCUGCCCUGGUCUGGGGCAAUGGUGUCUGUUCAUCCUUCUCCAGUUCUGGGUGAGGACAGUCAGCUAUUUGUCUGAGAGCCAAGGGCAGCCAGCAAGGGUUCAGACGCCUUUUGCUUCCUGAGAAGGGAGGUGGCCUUGCCCUGUGGGAAGCAUCAGUUGGAGGGAGAUGAAUUUAGCUGCCCUCCCUGGUUGGUGAUGGGGGAGGGUCCUGUCAGCCAGAGGAUGUAGGCUUAGCUCCAAAAGGGCUUUUGUCUGAGACUGGGCCUCAGGCCAGAGUGACAUUCUUCGGUGCAUGCUGCCAGGCCACCACUGAGUGGGCACCUGCAGGGCAGCUACGGAAGGAGUGAGGGGCCUGUCUUUCUUCCACAGAGGAGAGCAUGCGGGGAUGGAAUCUGCCAUUUUGGGGCCCCUGGUGUGCGGAGGCCAUGACUGUGGUUGCUCCUGGCUCCAAAAAACAUGCCAAGGCCCAGGCUACCCAGGGAUGUGGGCAAUUAACAUUUUAGCUUCUGUCAUGUCUGAUAAAGAUCCCCACAAGAUGAAAGGAAUCCACUCUGCCUUAAAUGAGUGCGACAGAAGAAACCUAGGGUCAUAGAAAGACCUGGGAGCCUCGGCCACAGCUCCCCUCGCAGCAGGGAUGCUGCCCUUCAUUGAGGAUGUGUUUUGCCCCACCCGGAAUCCUCUGCACAGGUGGGUGUACCAUAUCCUAUGCUGUGGGUAGUGACUGCUGAUUCCCACAGCUAUCUAUUCUGUGGAACCAUCUCUCUAGGGAGGUUGCAUGAAUUCCUUUCGUCCUGAGGUGUCUCCAUGGCAGCCAGUGCCUGACAGAAGACCCGAAGGAGGUAGCAGGCCUAGGGGAUAGUUCAUGGUCCAACGGCCCUGUAGGACCAGGCUGAGGCGGUGAUGGUGCAUGCCUUUAAUCCCACCACUCGGGAGGCAGAGGCAGGUGGAUCUCUGUGAGUUCGAGGCCAGCCUGGUCUACAAAGCGAGAUCCAGGACAGACUCCAAAGGUACACAGAGAAACCCUGUCUCGAAAAACAAAACAAAAACAAAAAACAAACAAACAAGGAAUGCUUCCUUGCUCUUCCAGAAGACCUGAGUUCACAUCCCAGUGGUCACAUCUGGUGGCUCACAAAUGCUUGUAAUUACACCUCCCAGCGAUCCGGCACCCAGUGAACAACUAUUGAGGAUUCUCUAUGCUCCAGAUGUGUUUGCUGUGCCUGAAGACAGCAGUAUGGCAAGUCAGUGCAGCCUUUCCAUCACUGAACCUACAGUCUGACUCGGCGGCGGCGCUCAGACUUGAUGUUCCCAGAUGACAGUGCCAUCUUCAAAUGUGCUGGACCACAUUCUUACAUCUGGGAUGCCUGGAGCCUGCAGCUUGCACGUGCCUGGUGGUGGAAAGAGAUGACUAUUAAAUCAUCACAAAAAAUUCAGUUAUGGCUGUGAUUAACACUCUGCAUCAGCAGUAUGGGCUACAGAGAAGGAUAGCACAGUGUCUGUUCUACCCUUGGCUCUGGAACACCGGGGGUAGGACUCUGAAGAUACCGUUUCUAGACAACAGCUGUCUUGUUAGGUUCUUCUGCCAACAGGAGACAUGAGGAAGGCAGAUGGAGAGAGGAGUCACUUUCUGUCUUAACCUCCCUGCACCCAGGUGUGUCCCUUCUUAGAUGUCUGAGCACCCACUCUGCCUAGAGCAGCGUAGGGCUCCCAUCCCACCCCCCAGCCCUGCAGUGAUUCUUCAGAUGUACCAGCAGGAGCUAGGAGCUCCCCUGUUCUGGAAACAGCCCCAUGCCCCUUUGUUUCCUCGUUCUAGGAUUGGCAGCUCUAUCCUGCCGAUCCCUGAGUUACCUCUGUCUCUUUGUGUGCAGCCCAACAAGAUCCCCCAGAGUAGAAUGUGUCUUGUGUUUUUAUAGUGCCCACCCGGAUCUAAACCAGAUGUGGAACAUCAGCCUGGGCCAGGUUAACAAAGGUGACGCUAAAGAAAUACCUUUAGGUUUCUGGCUUAAAGGGCCAGUAAGACUCAUUGGGUGGGGGUGUCUGGAAGAAAUAAAGUAGAGAGGGAAUGCAGACUCUGGAGGAGAAAUAGGCAGAGAAGGCCUAGGUCAUCUAGAAAUAUGGAGGAAAGUAAUGGUCACAUCCUGCAGGACUUUGAAAAGACAGGGAGCCAUUGAGGAAUGCUGGAGAAUGCUCCGAUGACUAUGAGGAUGCCAAGUGGGCAUUCUCCACCUCCCGUGCUUCCUUCUGGUGCUGAAGGAACUCUCACCUUCCUCCACUGUUGGAAUUCGUUCUAUCAGAAACACAAAAGCAGUGUAGCAAAAGUCAUAGAUCAUUUACAUGGAGGAUCUGACAAGGGGACCGAGAAUAUAGUUCCGUGGUAGAACACUUACCUACAGUGUGCAAGGUCACAGGUUCAAUCCUCAGCACUGGAAAGAAGAAACAGAAAAGGUGAUCCUUUGGGGUACAUAUAACCCCACUGCAUGGUUCAGUUAAAGGAAGGAUCUUUGUAUGAAGAAUGCAUCAUGCUUCUUCCUGCAAAGACACUUAAGGAAGCUUUGUGUUUUGAACAAAUGUGUGAUGGUGAGUGGCAGCCUUGAGCAGGGCCCAGUCUGUCUUCGGAGUCAACUGAAAUUCCAAUGCCGUCUCUGCUUCCUAUCUUGAGAACACAACCUAGCCUCUCUGAACCCUUGCUGCCUUGUCUGAAAAUUGUGUCUUCUGGGUUCUUUAAAAUUAGAUCAUAUUGGUACAACACCCAGCUCGGUGCCUGGUACCCAGUAGUCCCUUAAAAUGUACUAUUAGUUUAAUAGUUCCUUUGACUUCAAAGUAUAUUCUCGUAACUUCUACUUCAAUAGAGAUCCUGCAAACUUAGCCUAAUCUCUCUUCCACAUGAGGACAUUCCUGCCAUGCCACAUUCACUGUCUUGGAUUUUCUUUGGGGUGGCAUUCUUAGAUGUUCUUGUUGGCCACCUGGGUCAAGUCCUGAGUUCUCAUCGUUACCCAGAUCCCCAAGGUCCCAGCCUCAAAGCCUUCUCCUGGAUCCUCUAAUGAUCAAACCUGCCAGCUGGGUUUGUCCAGGAUUGCCAUACUGAUGCCACAAGGCUUCAGAUGUAGACGUUUACUGAUUGUUUUGUCUCUCUGAUGGCUGUUUUGACACGACAAUUGUUCAGAUGAAAGUUCUGAGUAUUUUUUCAGGCUUGCAAGAGCAUGUGUUAGAAGUUAACUCCAACAGGAACAUGAGAAACGAAUUUCCCUGUUGUCCUGUGAUUAUGCAUCGAGUCGGCUUCCUUUUUCACUUUCUCCAGAUCCACACAACACAUCUAGGAAAAAAAUAAAUGGUGACCUGUACAACUUA
Molecule: long non-coding RNA, 3622 nt
Organism: Peromyscus californicus insignis
Lineage: Eukaryota; Metazoa; Chordata; Mammalia; Rodentia; Cricetidae
Exons: 3
Source: RefSeq, a predicted model, not a curated record